GGAGCAGCCAUGUCCGGCCAAGGCCUGGCGCCCACAGACCCUCCUCGGGCCGCCACCAGCGAGCCUGUGCCAAGGCUGGCGCCUCUUCCGGCGUCUUCCCAGCAGCCCCCGCGCGGAACCGGAAAGACGCGCCGCCCCGCCGCCUGCCCCGGAAGAAGGAUGCCCCGGGCCGCGCGCCAGACUGGCGCGUGUCCCCACCUCGGGCUGUGCCAGGGCCCCACAGGGCUGGGAGAGGAGGGCGCUCCGGGGGCGGAGGGCGGAGGCCGGGGCCCUAGCGAAGACCCCGACUCCCUGAGGGCGGGCUCUCCUUUGUCGCCCUUUCCUUUUGCCCUUGGGGACUGAGCGGGCCUGAGAUGAAAACAAUGGCCUUUCAGCUUUUCUCAGGAAUGUGUCUCUGGUCAAGAAUGUGGAGGCAUCCAGCAAGCACACAGGCUGUUACACAAACACGGAGACCCAGGAUCAGCUGGUCCAAAUGCCCAUCCACACCAGGACAGAUCUCGUGUAGGUGUCCCCUCCUUGCUGGAGUGGCCAGGUGCAACUGAUACAGGCUGGGGCUCCAGUGUGCAGCAAAGGAGCACUUUCCCUGUUUAGGAAACACUUUCAUAGGUCCCUGGUGUCCCCAUGCAAAGUGACUUGCUAAUUGGCCCCAGCUAUGAAAGUGGCAGUCAGGAUUUGAACCCACUUCUGCUGACCCAAAGCCUGUGAGUGGCACACUCAGCUAUCUGGCCUCUUGGGUCACAGGAGGCCAGAGAGGUCCAGGACCCAUCCAUUUUACAGAUGAGGAAACUGAGGCCCAGAGCCUGGAGCCAUACACAUAGCUCCCUGGGGUAUUUGGCCUAUGAUGAUCUCCCCUCAAAGUGGCUGCAUCUCUCUGUCUGGCCAUCCCCGGUCUCGUGCAUCUAUUGACUCACCUCCCUUCAUCAACCAACACACACACGUGCUGAUUACCUGCCGGGGCCCUGCACUGUGGGGAGGGGCUCCAAGGUCAGAGCACUUGGGAUGUAAAGAGAGCAUGGGCUGCCUGGGGGGAGUCCCACCCCCUCCCCAACACACGCAUUGUCCUCCACACCCCUGGAUGGGAAUAAGAUAAUUUGCCUUGCACGAGGCAAAUUGCUU
RNAcentral lists this long non-coding RNA (1116 nucleotides) under Equus caballus (horse). Its description in RNAcentral is "lncRNA (ENSECAG00000055289.1)". Lineage: Eukaryota; Metazoa; Chordata; Mammalia; Perissodactyla; Equidae. The record is from RNAcentral.